This 468-nucleotide ribosomal RNA is filed under the name uncultured bacterium. Its description in RNAcentral is "partial 16S ribosomal RNA". It matches the Rfam family "Bacterial small subunit ribosomal RNA", at positions 28 to 507 of the family's 1533-position model. The record is from RNAcentral.
GACGAACGCUGGCGGCGUGCUUAACACAUGCAAGUCGAACGGAAAGGCCCUGCUUUUGUGGGGUGCUCGAGUGGCGAACGGGUGAGUAACCCGUGAGUAACCUGCCCUUGACUUUGGGAUAACUUCAGGAAACUGGGGCUAAUACCGGAUAGGAGCUCCUGCUGCAUGGUGGGGGUUGGAAAGUUUCGGCGGGUGGGGAUGGACUCGCGGCUUAUCAGCUUGUUGGUGGGGUAGUGGCUUACCAAGGCUUUGACGGGUAGCCGGCCUGAGAGGGUGACCGGCCACAUUGGGACUGAGAGACGGCCCAGACUCCUACGGGAGGCAGCAGUGGGGAGUAUGGCACAGUGGGCGGAAGCCUGAUGCAGCAACGCCGCGUGCGGGAUGACGGCCUACGGGUUGUAAACCGCUUUCGCCUGAGACGAAGCGUGAGUGACGGUAAUGGGUAAAGAAGCACCGGCUAACUACGUG